Molecule: long non-coding RNA, 177 nt
Organism: Telopea speciosissima
Lineage: Eukaryota; Viridiplantae; Streptophyta; Magnoliopsida; Proteales; Proteaceae
Exons: 2
Source: RefSeq, a predicted model, not a curated record
ACAAAAAAUUAGUCUUACAAGCUGUCUUGAAGAUCCCUACACAAGGCAAAGCUACUUUUCCAAAGUCCUAUACAACUGAUGGUUAAAAGAAAGGUAAACUCUUCAAACAACCAAGCACAUGCUUCCAUGAGUAUCUCCAGUUUGUGAACAUGCACUUGUUAGACUUCCAUGGAGGAC